Molecule: ribosomal RNA, 253 nt
Filed under: uncultured bacterium
Lineage: Bacteria
Description: partial 16S ribosomal RNA
Rfam family: Bacterial small subunit ribosomal RNA
Source: RNAcentral
UACGAAGGGGGCUAGCGUUGUUCGGAAUUACUGGGCGUAAAGGGCGCGUAGGCGGUCCCUCAAGUCAGGCGUGAAAGCCCCGGGCUCAACCCAGGAACUGCGUUUGAAACUGCCGAUCUUGAGUAGUGGAGAGGGAAGUGGAAUUCCUGGUGUAGAGGUGAAAUUCGUAGAUAUCAGGAGGAACACCAGUGGCGAAGGCGGCUUCCUGGACCUGAUCUGACGCUGAGGAGCGAAAGCGUGGGGAGCGAUCCGG